Molecule: small RNA, 27 nt
Filed under: Bombyx mori (domestic silkworm)
Lineage: Eukaryota; Metazoa; Arthropoda; Insecta; Lepidoptera; Bombycidae
Description: ovarian small RNA-9803
Source: RNAcentral
UUUCUCAGGAAAACGCGUUCGGGCUCA